GAGAGGUCCCCACACACAUACGCUUUAAGUGAAUGCCUUAAUGUCAGUACGUGGAAGUCUGUUAGGGAUAAAGUGUGUAUUCAGCUACAGGCAGUACUUUAAUGACAAAAAUUCAUUCCGUGUUGGUAAACCUGCAACUGUGUUGCGUUUAAAAUGAGACUGUGUGGCACUUGGAGGUUAGAAAACCUUGUAGCCUUCAAACGGAGUAACGAGAAGAACUGAAGAACUAUCAGUUAAUGUUUAUCACCUCAGUAAUACAAUAUGUGAAGCAACAUAAUGCAAUGUUCUUCGUAAUUUCAUUCAUUAGAUGAAGAAUAUUUUCAGUUGAACAAUUGGUCAACUAAUAAAUAUGUACCAAGCUUGGUUACGGCACAAUGCCGACCGAAGAAAAGUAUCACGAAUGAAAAAAGCAUUGAUUGAAAAACAAAGGAGAUCUAAUCGGACGAUCCUUGCAAUUAAUUCUGCAACCUAGGCGACGCAGAUUAUUUCAACGUCUUGUUGGGUACAUCCUGAACUCGUGUUGCGUGAACAUGGCAAAUUUUGGGAAACAGCCAUCCCUAACUACACAGAUGAAUGAUUUCGGAAAUAAUUUUCGCUUUAAAAAGGCAACAUUUAUGAAUUUGUGCAACAUGCUUAGGCCCUGCCUGUUAUAACACAACACUCUUAUGAGAGAGGCUAUUGUGCUUGAAAGGAGAGUGGCGGUCGCCUUGACGUUUUUGAAGGAAAACUGUGACUUUUGGUCCAUUGCUGAUUUAUAUGGAAUUGGAAAAUGUACCGUAGGAUGUCUGUUAUAUGAAUUUUGUGAAGCGGUGCUUGCACAUUAUUAUGAUGACGACAUCAAGUUUCCCGAUACUGAAGUGGAAAGAUUAGCUAUAAGCAGAGGUUUCAUGAACAGAUGCCAAUUCCCUGAUUGUUUUGGUGCGAUGGACUGAACUCGUAUUCCUAUAUCAGCACCUGCAGACCAUCCCGAGGAUUAUUAUAAUUAUAAAUCAUUUCAUUCGAUCGUCGCGUUAUGCGCUGUUGAUUACAAGUAUCGGUUCACGUAUAUAAACAUUGGCGCCCCUGGAUGUUGCAAUGAUGCAUCAAUUUUCCAUAGAAGUGCAUUAUUCAAAAAAUUCUCUGUAAAUAAUGAGACUCUUAAUGGACAAACAACUAAUCUGCACAUCAUAUCUGAUGCAGCUUUUCCUUCGUUAACAUGGCUGUUGAAACUUUAUCCCAUAACCAACGAAAUAUCGCUCAUGAAUCGAAAUUUCAAUUAUAGGUUCAGUAGCGCAAGGAUGACAGUAGAGAAUGCUUUUGGUCCGUUAAAAGGGCGUUGGAGAAUACUAUUAAAAAGAGCAGAUUUGAACCUCGAAAAUAUGAAACAAGUGCAAAGGUUUGCUUUGUUUCACAUAACAUUUGUGAAAGUCAUAAUGAAGUUUUUCACCUCGAAUGGCUUGAAAAGGUUAGAGCUGAAGAAAACAGAAUGGCAAACAUACCUACUAUCCCAGUUCUUGAUAAUAGAGCUUCUACAGUAGCUGAAAUAAAAAACAAGAUAUGAUCACGGAGCGCUUGACGAACAAUGGAAUGUCUACAUUAGAUUGUUAAGAAUCAAGUAUUUUCAAUUUAUAACGUG
Molecule: long non-coding RNA, 1615 nt
Filed under: Neodiprion lecontei (redheaded pine sawfly)
Lineage: Eukaryota; Metazoa; Arthropoda; Insecta; Hymenoptera; Diprionidae
Description: uncharacterized LOC124294952
Source: RNAcentral